RNAcentral lists this long non-coding RNA (392 nucleotides) under Ananas comosus (pineapple). RNAcentral's name for it is "long non-coding RNA (ACOM_LNC002977)". Lineage: Eukaryota; Viridiplantae; Streptophyta; Magnoliopsida; Poales; Bromeliaceae. The record is from RNAcentral.
CCACUGAGUGUCCCGAACUCACCGACUCGUACCACGAAUCACCCGCUGCCCCAAAACAUUCCAAUUUGGAUGCCUUGGCAGCGAACACAAGGUAACACAACAAUACGAUCAUCGCCGGAUAAUCGUACGAAUCCGGAUUUCCGGAAGCGUCUAUUUCGACACCGGAACCCUCCGUCGCUAACCUAUCAUCAUCGAACCCACAAAAUGAUGAUGGUGAUCAGCCAACAAGGCUCAGCGACAAAACACGAAGCAACCAAACACCGUCGGAAAGAAUCCGAACCGAAACCGCGUUCUUUCGGCGAAUUUCGCCGAAAAACGCACCGAAAUCGACCUACCGAUUUCCGCGAAAGCUAACGGACCAUGGACAAUCAGUCCAGUGAUCAAAACAAACU